This 304-nucleotide ribosomal RNA is filed under the name Aetana banahaw. Its description in RNAcentral is "partial 12S ribosomal RNA". The record is from RNAcentral. Lineage: Eukaryota; Metazoa; Arthropoda; Arachnida; Araneae; Pholcidae.
AGUAGUAAUAAAUAACUAAACUAAUAUAAUUUGGCGGUCAUACUAAAUUAAAGAAACUCGCUUAAUAAUCGAUAAUACUCGAUAAAUUUUACUAAAAUAAUUAAGCUCAUAUACCGCCGUCAUCAGAACAAUAACAACAAUAAUUCAUAAAAUUCAUUUUCAAUAAAAAAUCAGGUCAAGGUGUGGCAAUAUUAAAGAAAAAGUAAGUUACAUUAAAAAAAAUUUAAGGAUUUUACUUCAAAAAUUAAAUGAAAAAGAAUUUAUAAGUACACAUCAAUUAAAAAUUAUAAUAGAACAAUAAUAG